This 433-nucleotide ribosomal RNA is filed under the name uncultured bacterium. Its description in RNAcentral is "partial 16S ribosomal RNA". It matches the Rfam family "Bacterial small subunit ribosomal RNA", at positions 29 to 507 of the family's 1533-position model. The record is from RNAcentral.
AACGAACGCUGGCGGCAUGCCUAACACAUGCAAGUCGAACGAAGGCUUCGGCCUUAGUGGCGCACGGGUGCGUAACGCGUGGGAAUCUGCCCUUGGGUUCGGAAUAACAGCGGGAAACUGCUGCUAAUACCGGAUGAUGACGUAAGUCCAAAGAUUUAUCGCCCAAGGAUGAGCCCGCGUAGGAUUAGCUAGUUGGUGGGGUAAAGGCCCACCAAGGCGACGAUCCUUAGCUGGUCUGAGAGGAUGAUCAGCCACACUGGGACUGAGGCACGGCCCAGACUCCUACGGGAGGCAGCAGUGGGGAAUAUUGGACAAUGGGCGAAAGCCUGAUCCAGCAAUGCCGCGUGAGUGAUGAAGGCCUUAGGGUUGUAAAGCUCUUUUACCCGGGAUGAUAAUGACAGUACCGGGAGAAUAAGCUCCGGCUAACUCCGUG